Manihot esculenta (cassava) is the source of this 2141-nucleotide RNA transcript. It is a transcript of the gene named phytochromobilin:ferredoxin oxidoreductase, chloroplastic, with no coding region annotated. The record is from RefSeq and is a predicted model, not a curated record. The transcript is spliced from 8 exons. NCBI's taxonomy places the organism in Eukaryota, Viridiplantae, Streptophyta, Magnoliopsida, Malpighiales, Euphorbiaceae.
UCGUUGUAUAUGUAGUAAUAAUCAUUCCUCUAACAGGAAAAGCUAACGAAACGGUUUAAAUCGGUGAUGCUGAGACUGAACAACUCCACACUUUCAGCUAAAUUUUCACUUCACAAUGCAUUCAUCUUCUUCCUUAAGCUCUUGUUUAUCACUAAAAUCUCACUCACUAACCUCCUUAAUCACCAGCACCAACGAUAACUCCAGAAGCAAGAAGAUCAAGCCUCAUGUACUGCAAGUCUCUGCUUUUUCUUACCAGAAAUUCAUUCAUUUUGCUCUCAGUGAAGCCAAAAGCCGCACCGUUUUGGUCGCUUCUCCUCUCCAGGAAAAGUUUAACUCCAUGACUGCAAUGGAUGGAAGAACGGAGCUUAAAAUGCUGUCAUUCCAAGCUUCCAAGAUUAGACUCCUGCGUAGUUUGAGCAUUGAAAAUGAGGCAAUGCAGGUUUUGGAUUUUGCUGCCUUUGCCAGACCAGAAUUUGAUGUACCUAUAUUUUGUGCCAAUUUUUUCACUGCUGCCAGCAUGAACAUAAUUGUGUUGGAUCUUAACCCCUUGCACAAUCUCAUUGACAAAAGUGAUUACAAGGAGAAGUACUACAAAAGCUUAUUUCCUGUAGGUCUCAAGUAUGCAGAGCUUUUUCCUUGGGGUGGAAAGCUCACAAGUGAGUCCUUGCAAUUUUUCUCACCGGUUGUAAUAUGGACCAAGUUUACUACAAGCCAGUACAGACAUGAUGAUCUAUAUUCUGCAUUUGUGGAUUACUACAAGGCAUGGCUUGAGCUGGUUGACCUAGCUGUGGAAGAGAAAGAUGCAUCUCAAAUUAUAUGCAACCGUGAAGCGCAACAUAAGUAUCUAACUUGGAGAGCAGAAAAGGUGAUUUACCUCUCAUUCCUGAAUUUGUCAUGCAGUGCAUCACGGCUCGUUAACAGGGGGCGGUCGGCUAAUAAGUAUUGAACUGAUUGGCCCAUACCUUGUCUAUUGCUCACGUCAUGUCACUCAGCCCUACCGCACGUGCAAGUCAGCUCUACUGCACGAGCAAUCAUGACCUAACAAUUUCUCGCGUGCUUCAGAGAGGUCUGCUCAUCGAUUCCGAGUUUUGAAGAGGUCAACCCAUCUGUUUUAGGCCUUGGUAAGGUCAGGGGUGCUGGAAGUCUGAUUUUUAUAUCUUAUAGGUCGGAUUUCUCACUGCGAUCCGUGGAAUGGUUCUUGGAGUUUUUAUGUAUUGUGUGCACACGUAUCAUAAUCUUAAUGGGUCCUAUUAUUCUUAUGUUAUCAGGGUGAUAUCAUUAUUUGUUUGUCUGUAUCACAUGGGCUUGUGGUUAGCCCUUUCCAUUUGCGGAUUAGGUUAAUUGUUUAUAUGGAGUUGUACGUUUCUUCAAAUUGAGUCUUGGAAAACGCUUACAAUACCAACAAAGUAUUGUAAGGUUCUUACAGAUCAAGUUACAAAGAUGUAAUCUUUAUUUUUGACGGUCUUCUCCUGGGCCAUGUCUGUAUUUAAUUUUAAGGAAAAGAUAUAUUGUAGUAGAACUUGAUCAGAUAGGUAGAUUCCCUUUAUUCUUUCGUUUGCAACUUUUGUGUGUGAUUUAUCUCAUUUACCUGGCUCACUCACCACUUGGAAAGCAGGAUCCAGGCCAUGGAGUUCUGAAAAGGUUGAUUGGUGAAAGUCUUGCGAAGGAUGUAAUAAGGAACUUCCUCUUCAGUGGAAUUGAUGAACUAGGAAGCAAAGGGUUCCUCGAUUAUUUUCCAGAGUACCGCUGCAAUGACGGGAAUAUAAAUGAGAAACGCAGUAUAAUUGGGAAGUCUUUUGAAUGUCGUCCAUGGGACGCAAAAGGAGAAUUCAUUGGUAACAAUAUGAAAAUUUAGUGCAUUAUAUUGUAUUAUGGCUAAUCCUUUUUUCUGUUUCCCUUUUUCCUUUUACCUGUUAAAUUCUGAAUCUAGAAACUUGUUUAGCACCUGUAAUCUUCCUAAGGAAUAUGUGUAACAUUAUGUAGUAUGACACACCUUCUAUUGUAUAUCUAACACAUUAUGUGUAUUCAGGAAAGUAUGCAUUGUAACAGAAACUGGUGCAACAGUGUCAAAUUGUUUCAGCUUACUUGACGAGUGUAUGGAAACUUUUGUCAAAUGUGAAACAUAUAUUUUCUUUUCUACA